Molecule: transfer RNA, 72 nt
Filed under: Camelus bactrianus (Bactrian camel)
Lineage: Eukaryota; Metazoa; Chordata; Mammalia; Artiodactyla; Camelidae
Also listed under: 2 other names
Rfam family: tRNA
About the family: Transfer RNA (tRNA) molecules are approximately 80 nucleotides in length. Their secondary structure includes four short double-helical elements and three loops (D, anti-codon, and T loops).
Source: Rfam by way of RNAcentral
GUGGGCAUAGCUCAGUGGUAGAGGGCAUGCUUAGCAUGCAUGAGGUCCUGGGUUCAAUUCCCAGUACCUCUA